UACGGAGGGAGCUAGCGUUGUUCGGAAUUAUUGGGCGUAAAGGGCUCGUAGGCGGAUCCGCCAGUUUGACGUGAAAUCUCCACCGCUCACCGGGGAGAGGUCGUUGAAUACUACGGAUCUGGAGUUCGGCAGAGGACCAUGGAAUUUCGGGUGUAGCGGUGGAAUGCGUAGAUAUCCGAAAGAACACCGGUGGCGAAGGCGGUGGAUCUGG
RNAcentral lists this ribosomal RNA (211 nucleotides) under uncultured bacterium. Its description in RNAcentral is "partial 16S ribosomal RNA". It matches the Rfam family "Bacterial small subunit ribosomal RNA", at positions 524 to 733 of the family's 1533-position model. The record is from RNAcentral.